RNAcentral lists this ribosomal RNA (301 nucleotides) under uncultured bacterium. RNAcentral's name for it is "partial 16S ribosomal RNA". It matches the Rfam family "Bacterial small subunit ribosomal RNA", at positions 509 to 808 of the family's 1533-position model. The record is from RNAcentral.
CAGUCGCCACGGUAAUACGUAGGUCCCGAGCGUUGUCCGGAUUUAUUGGGCGUAAAGCGAGCGCAGGCGGUUAGAUUAGUCUGAAGUUAAAGGCUGUGGCUUAACCAUAGUACGCUUUGGAAACUGUUUAACUUGAGUGCAAGAGGGGAGAGCGGAAUUCCAUGUGUAGCGGUGAAAUGCGUAGAUAUAUGGAGGAACACCGGUGGCGAAAGCGGCUCUCUGGCUUGUAACUGACGCUGAGGCUCGAAAGCGUGGGAAGCAAACAGGAUUAGAGACCCGUGUAGUCCCUGUCUCUUAUACA